This 432-nucleotide ribosomal RNA is filed under the name uncultured bacterium. Its description in RNAcentral is "partial 16S ribosomal RNA". It matches the Rfam family "Bacterial small subunit ribosomal RNA", at positions 29 to 506 of the family's 1533-position model. The record is from RNAcentral.
AACGAACGCUGGCGGCAUGCCUAACACAUGCAAGUCGAACGAGACCUUCGGGUCUAGUGGCGCACGGGUGCGUAACGCGUGGGAACCUGCCCUUAGGUUCGGAAUAACUCCCCGAAAGGGGUGCUAAUACCGGAUAAUGUCUUCGGACCAAAGAUUUAUCGCCUUUGGAUGGGCCCGCGUUGGAUUAGCUAGUUGGUAGGGUAAAAGCCUACCAAGGCGACGAUCCAUAGCUGGUCUGAGAGGAUGAUCAGCCACACUGGGACGGAGACACGGCCCAGACUCCUACGGGAGGCAGCAGUGGGGAAUAUUGGACAAUGGGCGAAAGCCUGAUCCAGCAAUGCCGAGUGAGUGAUGAAGGCCUUAGGGUUGUAAAGCUCUUUUCCCCGGGAUGAUAAUGACAGUACCGGGAGAAUAAGCUCCGGCUAACUCCGU